RNAcentral lists this ribosomal RNA (511 nucleotides) under Klebsiella pneumoniae. RNAcentral describes it as "bacterial SSU rRNA". It matches the Rfam family "Bacterial small subunit ribosomal RNA", at positions 1022 to 1533 of the family's 1533-position model. Lineage: Bacteria; Pseudomonadati; Pseudomonadota; Gammaproteobacteria; Enterobacterales; Enterobacteriaceae. The record is from RNAcentral.
GGGAACUGUGAGACAGGUGCUGCAUGGCUGUCGUCAGCUCGUGUUGUGAAAUGUUGGGUUAAGUCCCGCAACGAGCGCAACCCUUAUCCUUUGUUGCCAGCGGUCCGGCCGGGAACUCAAAGGAGACUGCCAGUGAUAAACUGGAGGAAGGUGGGGAUGACGUCAAGUCAUCAUGGCCCUUACGACCAGGGCUACACACGUGCUACAAUGGCAUAUACAAAGAGAAGCGACCUCGCGAGAGCAAGCGGACCUCAUAAAGUAUGUCGUAGUCCGGAUUGGAGUCUGCAACUCGACUCCAUGAAGUCGGAAUCGCUAGUAAUCGUAGAUCAGAAUGCUACGGUGAAUACGUUCCCGGGCCUUGUACACACCGCCCGUCACACCAUGGGAGUGGGUUGCAAAAGAAGUAGGUAGCUUAACCUUCGGGAGGGCGCUUACCACUUUGUGAUUCAUGACUGGGGUGAAGUCGUAACAAGGUAACCGUAGGGGAACCUGCGGUUGGAUCACCUCCUUA